GAUGAACGCUAGCAGAACGCCUAACACAUGCAAGUCAAACGGCCAGCAAUGGCAGUGGCAAACGAGCGAGUAACGCGUACUUAACCUGCCCAGAAGUUGUGAACAACCAUAGAGAUAUGGCUAAUCCACGAUAAUCCCUAAUGAAUGAAAAUAUUUAGGGCAAAGAUUUAUCGCUUUUGGAGGGGGUGGCGUCCUAUCAGGUAGUUGGUGAGGUAAUAGCUCACCAAGCCUAUGACGGGUAGCCGGUCUGAGAGGAUGUCCGGCCGCGAUGGAACUGAGACACGGUCCAUACUCCUACGGGAGGUAGCAGUGGGGAAUAUUGGACAAUGGCGAAAGUACUGAUCCAGCGAUUCUUGCGUGGAGGA
Molecule: ribosomal RNA, 365 nt
Filed under: uncultured bacterium
Lineage: Bacteria
Description: bacterial SSU rRNA
Rfam family: Bacterial small subunit ribosomal RNA
Source: RNAcentral